This 445-nucleotide RNase P RNA is filed under the name Litoreibacter sp. RNAcentral describes it as "RNase P RNA component class A". It matches the Rfam family "Bacterial RNase P class A". From Rfam's summary of the family: Ribonuclease P (RNase P) is a ubiquitous endoribonuclease, found in archaea, bacteria and eukarya as well as chloroplasts and mitochondria. Its best characterised activity is the generation of mature 5'-ends of tRNAs by cleaving the 5'-leader elements of precursor-tRNAs. Lineage: Bacteria; Pseudomonadati; Pseudomonadota; Alphaproteobacteria; Rhodobacterales; Roseobacteraceae. The record is from RNAcentral.
GCGGAAGGCUGGAUGGCUGAGGCGCUUUAUUUGACGGGCCAUAAUCCUUCGCGACUCGGUGCCAACUACUGCUUCGCAAGGGUAUAGGCCUUUCCAAAUUAAAGCGCUUAGGAAAGUCCGGACUCCAUGAAAAAACGGUGCCGGGUAACGCCCGGCGGGGGCAACCCCAGGGAAAGCGCCACAGAGAAUAGACUGCCUUCGUCUACGAAGGUGAUGGUGAAACGGUGCGGUAAGAGCGCACCGCGCGGCCGGAAACGGUCGUGGCGAGGCAAGCCCCACCGGGAGCAACGCCAAAUAGGAACCUCGCGGCGCAAGCCAGGGCCUUUUCAGCCCGAGAUGGUUCGGGUUGGCGGCUAGAGGAGCAUCGGCGACGACGCUUCGAGAUGAAUAGCCAUCCUGAGGUUCAUUCCUCAGACAGAAUCCGGCUUACAGGCUUUCCGCGCAU